RNAcentral lists this long non-coding RNA (1196 nucleotides) under Marmota monax (woodchuck). Lineage: Eukaryota; Metazoa; Chordata; Mammalia; Rodentia; Sciuridae. The record is from RNAcentral.
AUCUGUAUGCAAAACAGUGUGUUCUGAAGAGAGCACUUUGGAAGAAGUGUUGCAAGAAAACAACUCAAGCAGGUGUGCGCAUUACACAAAAUUGUUCAGUAAAUAGCCAGAGCUGCAGUAAAUCACACUCCAUUUUUUGCCAGGGAUCAAUCCCAAGGCCUUGCUCAUGUGGGCAAGCCCUCUACCACUGAGCUACACUCCCAGCCCUACAGGACACUGGAAAAAAAAAACAGCAGUACAAUAGUUUAAUUUUGAAAUAAGCCCAAGAGGGUAUAGAGAAGAGUAAGGACCUUGCUUCUACAGAGUGACCUUCAGCACCCUACUUCUCAAAGUGGAAUCACUAAAAUGUCUAAUGAAGUUACUGAUUUGAGAUUAGUUCACAGGAGUCUUAGCAACCAUGCUUUCAGAUGGAGGAAAAAAGGUAACAAACAGUACUGCUGAGACCAUUCGACAAGAGAAUAGCUGAUAUGCCACUCCUCCCUGCUGGCCAUGCCAGGAUUUAUGACAUAUAUCCCAAAUGCCCAAGAUUGCACUGUUCUCAUGUACCUGAAUAACAAAAACAUGCCAAGUGUGCAGCCUGGUCACAGAGUUUCAGACACACUUCAAUUAGUUGAAAAACUGAAAAGAGCACUUUACAAAUUUAAUCUAUACUUGCUAUAGAUUAAAACUCUUCCAGAGACACCAAUUUAUGAUGAGAGGCAAGGUCAAAUGUUUACUGAAAGUGUGGCAAACUAUAGCUGUGGGGCCAGACCCACCCUGUUGCCUGUUCUGGUAAAUAAAUUUUAUUGGAACAGCCACACUUGCUGGUUUACAUUUUUUAUAGCUGCUUUUGCCCUGCAGAGUUGAAUAAUGUGACAUCCUACGGCCCACAAAGCUGAAAGCAUUCCUACCUGGUCAUUUAAAGUUUUCCAACUCCUUGCCUAUUGCUUGGUUUGUUGAAACUGACCUUUUCACACUUCUAAGAGCAGCAGGUUAGAUCAAUAAUGGUAUUUAGAGUACAUGUUGCCUUUUAGAAUUGAAAGGUGAUGAUAGGGAGGUAAAUUCCAAGUGAAACAAAUUUAAAUGAGAUUUGUAAUCUGUAAAGGAAAUUUACCUAGAAAAAGUAAUGCGUCUAUUUUCAGUUAUAGUGGAGCAGAGAAAAGAGUAUUUUCUCAUAUGACUCAACAGUCAUAAUAAAGGAGAUAGACACAGAAAAC